ACCCAGCUGACGAGUCCCAAAUAGGACGAAACGCGCGUGCUGGAU
Non-coding RNA from Schistosoma haematobium, 45 nucleotides. Lineage: Eukaryota; Metazoa; Platyhelminthes; Trematoda; Strigeidida; Schistosomatidae. The record is from Rfam.